GGCGAGUUUGAUCAUGGCUCAGGACGAACGCUGGCGGCGCGCCUAAUACAUGCAAGUCGAGCGAGAACCAGGGCUUGCCCUGGGGAGAGCGGCGAACGGGUGCGUAUCACGUGAGCAACCUGCCUCAGAGACCGGGAUAACUCGAGGAAACUCGGGCUAAUACCGGAUGCCCUCGACGGACCGCAUGGUCCGACGAGGAAAUGGAUUCCGCUCUGAGAUGGGCUCGCGGCCUAUCAGCUUGUUGGUGGGGUAACGGCCUACCAAGGCAACGACGGGUAGCUGGUCUGAGAGGACGAUCAGCCACACUGGGACUGAGACACGGCCCAGACUCCUACGGGAGGCAGCAGUAGGGAAUCUUGCGCAAUGGGGGAAACCCUGACGCAGCGACGCCGCGUGCGGGAUGAAGGCCUCCGGGUCGUAAACCGCUUUCAGCAGGGACGAAAUUGACGGUACCUGCAGAAGAAGGCCCGGCCAACUACGUGCCAGCAGCCGCGGUAAUAA
Molecule: ribosomal RNA, 501 nt
Filed under: uncultured bacterium
Lineage: Bacteria
Description: bacterial SSU rRNA
Rfam family: Bacterial small subunit ribosomal RNA
Source: RNAcentral